AUUGAACGCUGGCGGCAGGCCUAACACAUGCAAGUCGAGCGGAUGAAGGGAGCUUGCUCCUGGAUUCAGCGGCGGACGGGUGAGUAAUGCCUAGGAAUCUGCCUGGUAGUGGGGGAUAACGUCCGGAAACGGGCGCUAAUACCGCAUACGUCCUGAGGGAGAAAGUGGGGGAUCUUCGGACCUCACGCUAUCAGAUGAGCCUAGGUCGGAUUAGCUAGUUGGUGGGGUAAAGGCCUACCAAGGCGACGAUCCGUAACUGGUCUGAGAGGAUGAUCAGUCACCUGGGAACUGGACACCGGCCCAAGUCCCCCGGGGGGGCACGAGUGGGGAAAUUUGGCAAUGGGGCGAAAGCCUAACCCAGCCAUGCCGGGGGGGUGAAGAAGUGCUUCGGUUUUUAAAGCCCUUUAAGGUGGGAGGAAGGGGAGUAAGUUAAGACCUGGCUUUUUGGGCGUUACCAAAAGAAUAAGCCCCGGCGAACUUCGG
RNAcentral lists this ribosomal RNA (483 nucleotides) under uncultured bacterium. RNAcentral's name for it is "partial 16S ribosomal RNA". It matches the Rfam family "Bacterial small subunit ribosomal RNA", at positions 29 to 506 of the family's 1533-position model. The record is from RNAcentral.